RNAcentral lists this long non-coding RNA (241 nucleotides) under Elaeis guineensis (African oil palm). Its description in RNAcentral is "long non-coding RNA (EGUI_LNC078698)". The record is from RNAcentral. Lineage: Eukaryota; Viridiplantae; Streptophyta; Magnoliopsida; Arecales; Arecaceae.
CGCUGGAGAAGCUGGAGUCGUGGGAGUCGCGAUCGCCGCCGGGACCUGCAAAAGAAGUCUAAAUUAGAGGUGGGGUUGCUCUGGCAAAAUCCUCUGACGCUCAAGUCAGUUCUCUGCCUCAACAAGAAUGGAGUACUCGAACAAAAAUUUUAGCAAAAUUUUUAGGUAAAAAAUGAGAGCUUAGAGAAUAACGUAUCUGGGGUCCCCCCUUUUAUAGACGGGGGGAGCAAAGGAUUGAUAG